UAAAGAUGAAGUUGUCUGGAGACAAGGGCAGCUAGAAAGGGUGGGUAAGGGAGAUGCUCACUCGGCUGUUAUAGGAUCCCGAUCAAUAGAAAGGGAUGCACAUGUCUCUGAAAGCUCCAGUAAGGGGAGGGGCAUGAUUAUGGAUAAGAUUGUGGUUGCUGGUCCCCAACUGGGGGGUGCAGGGAGAGGAAGAGAAGGAGCUAGUUCUCCUAGUAUAGUACGGGAGAAUGACCCCCAGGAAUUGGAGUUUAGGGAAGGGGAACAUGCUAUGAUAAGACAGGAACUGUUAGAAAAUG
RNAcentral lists this long non-coding RNA (296 nucleotides) under Zostera marina. RNAcentral describes it as "long non-coding RNA (ZMAR_LNC005703)". The record is from RNAcentral. Lineage: Eukaryota; Viridiplantae; Streptophyta; Magnoliopsida; Alismatales; Zosteraceae.